This 75-nucleotide transfer RNA is filed under the name Clostridioides difficile. Its description in RNAcentral is "tRNA-Pro". It matches the Rfam family "tRNA". Rfam says of the family: Transfer RNA (tRNA) molecules are approximately 80 nucleotides in length. Their secondary structure includes four short double-helical elements and three loops (D, anti-codon, and T loops). The record is from RNAcentral. Lineage: Bacteria; Bacillati; Bacillota; Clostridia; Peptostreptococcales; Peptostreptococcaceae.
CGGGAUAUAGCCAAGUGGGAAGGCGGGGCAUUUGGGAUGCUCAGGUCAUAGGUUCGAAUCCUAUUAUUCCGACUA